GCCAGUGUGGUGUAGUGGUUUGAGUGUUGGACUAUGACUCUGGAGACCAGGGUUCGAUUCCCCGUUCAGCCA
Non-coding RNA from Phrynosoma platyrhinos (Desert horned lizard), 72 nucleotides. The record is from the annotation of a GenBank genome assembly. Lineage: Eukaryota; Metazoa; Chordata; Lepidosauria; Squamata; Phrynosomatidae.